Kogia breviceps (pygmy sperm whale) is the source of this 449-nucleotide non-coding RNA. NCBI's taxonomy places the organism in Eukaryota, Metazoa, Chordata, Mammalia, Artiodactyla, Physeteridae. The record is from RefSeq and is a predicted model, not a curated record.
CUCUAUAAUGAGGCGCGUUCCGAACUUAAAGGGAAGAACAGAAGAAAGCAUCAGUACGGUAGCAAAGGAUCCCUAUUUCCUCGACAUCUUACCUGAUUUGCAAAUGGAGACACUAGAAGGGCAGAUGAUCAUUUGAUUCUCUCUCAAGUAUCAGGAAUCCUAGCCCCACCUUGACAAAAAUCAAAUGGCAGUCAGCCCAAGAUGGAACUUUCUAAGGAGUGCCUGCCAUGUGGACCACUCAGGAGGCUACAGAGGACCCUCAGGGAGCUGUCAUGGAAUAAUAAUACUUCAAGGUGCUUAAUGAUUAAAUGAGUUAUCAUUUGGGCUUCCCUGGUGGCGCAGUGGUUGAGAACCUGCCAGCCAACGCAGGGGACAUGGGUUCGAGCCCUGGUCUGGGAAGAUCCCACAUGCCGCAGAGCAACUGGGCUUGUGAGCCACAACUACUGAGC